This 758-nucleotide ribosomal RNA is filed under the name Halosauropsis macrochir (abyssal halosaur). Its description in RNAcentral is "partial 12S ribosomal RNA subunit". It matches the Rfam family "Bacterial small subunit ribosomal RNA", at positions 284 to 1407 of the family's 1533-position model. The record is from RNAcentral. Lineage: Eukaryota; Metazoa; Chordata; Actinopteri; Notacanthiformes; Halosauridae.
GCCGGUAUCAUGGCACGCCACAAAGCAGCCCAAGACGCCUUGCUUAGCCACACCCCCAAGGGAACCCAGCAGUGAUAGACAUUAAGCUAUAAGCGAAAGCUGGACUUAGUAAAGCCAAGAGAGCCGGUAAAACUCGUGCCAGCCACCGCGGUUAUACGAGAGGCUCAAAUUGACACUCAACGGCGUAAAGAGUGAUUAAAGGAGUAAUAAAACUAAAGCCGAACCCCCCUUAGGCCGUCAUACGCUUCUAGGGGUAUGAAGCCCCAAAACGAAAGUAGCUUUAAUUAACACCCCUUGAACUCACGACAGCUAAGAAACAAACUGGGAUUAGAUACCCCACUAUGCUUAGCCUCAAACUUUGGUAAUAAAGUACAUAUAUUACCCGCCAGGGGACUACAAGCACUAGCUUAAAACCCAAAGGACUUGGCGGUGCCUCAAACCCAUCUAGAGGAGCCUGUUCUACAACUGAUAAUCCUCGUUAAACCUCACCACCCCUUGUCAACCCCGCCUAUAUACCGCCGUCGCCAGCUCACCUUGUGAAAGAUAAAUAGUGAGCCUAAUGGGAACAUCCCAGAACGUCAGGUCGAGGUGUAGCGAAUGGGGUGGGAAGAAAUGGGCUACAUUUUCUGACCUCCAGAAUAUUACGAAAAAUGCUAUGAAAUAUAGUAUACAGAAGGUGGAUUUAGCAGUAAAGAGAAAACAGAGUGUUCUCUUGAAAUCGGCUCUGUGGCGCGUACACACCGCCCGUCACCCUCCUA